UACAGAGGGUGCGAGCGUUGUUCGGAAUUAUUGGGCGUAAAGGGCGCGUAGGCGGCGCCACAAGUCACUUGUGAAAACUCUGGGCUCAACUCAGAGCCUGCAAGCGAAACUGUGGUGCUGGAGUAUGGGAGAGGUGCGUGGAAUUCCCGGUGUAGCGGUGAAAUGCGUAGAUAUCGGGAGGAACGCCUGUGGCGAAAGCGGCGCACUGGACCAUAACUGACGCUGAGGCGCGAAAGCUAGGGGAGCAAACAGG
This 253-nucleotide ribosomal RNA is filed under the name uncultured bacterium. RNAcentral's name for it is "partial 16S ribosomal RNA". It matches the Rfam family "Bacterial small subunit ribosomal RNA", at positions 524 to 776 of the family's 1533-position model. The record is from RNAcentral.